UCCUCCCUCUGGCGGCGUGCUUAACACAUGCAAGUCGAACGGAAAGGCCCUGCUUUUGUGGGGUGCUCGAGUGGCGAACGGGUGAGUAACACGUGAGUAACCUGCCCUUGACUUUGGGAUAACUUCAGGAAACUGGGGCUAAUACCGGAUAGGAGCUCCUGCUGCAUGGUGGGGGUUGGAAAGUUUCGGCGGUUGGGGAUGGACUCGCGGCUUAUCAGCUUGUUGGUGGGGUAGUGGCUUACCAAGGCUUUGACGGGUAGCCGGCCUGAGAGGGUGACCGGCCACAUUGGGACUGAGAUACGGACCAGACUCCUACGGGAGGCAGCAGUGGGGAAUAUUGCACAAUGGGCGGAAGCCUGAUGCAGCAACGCCGCGUGCGGGAUGACGGCCUUCGGGUUGUAAACCGCUUUCGCCUGUGACGAAGCGUGAGUGACGGUAAUGGGUAAAGAAGCACCGGCUAACUACGUG
This 468-nucleotide ribosomal RNA is filed under the name uncultured bacterium. RNAcentral describes it as "partial 16S ribosomal RNA". It matches the Rfam family "Bacterial small subunit ribosomal RNA", at positions 36 to 507 of the family's 1533-position model. The record is from RNAcentral.